Molecule: ribosomal RNA, 801 nt
Filed under: uncultured bacterium
Lineage: Bacteria
Description: bacterial SSU rRNA
Rfam family: Bacterial small subunit ribosomal RNA
Source: RNAcentral
GGAUUAGGCAUGCAAGUCGAGCGAGAAAGCCCCUUCGGGGGUGAGUACAGCGGCGAAAGGGUGAGUAAUACAUGGAUAACCUGCCCUCGAGACCGGAAUAACUAUCCCAACGGGUAGCUAAUGCCGGAUGGCGCCACGGAAUCGCAUGGUUCUGUGGCUAAAGGUGGUUCGCUGCCACUCGAGGAGGGGUCCAUGUCCUAUUAGCUUGUUGGUGAGGUAACGGCUCACCAAGGCUCUGAUGGGUAGCCGGACUGAGAGGUUGGCCGGUCACACUGGAACUGAGACACUGUCCAGACUCCUGCGGGAGGCUGCAGUCGAGAAUCUUCCGCAAUGGGCGAAAGCCUGACGGAGCGACGCCGCGUGGAGGAUGAAGGCCCUUGGGUCGUAAACUCCUGUCAGGGGUUAGGAAAUCCGAUGCGGUUAAUACCCGUGUCGGUUGACAAAGGCCCCAGAGGAAGCACUGGCUAACUACGUGCCAGCAGCCGCGGUAAGACGUAGAGUGCAAACGUUGUUCGGAAUCACUGGGCAUAAAGGGCCCGUAGGUGGCGCGGGAAGUCGGUUGUGAAAGCCCCUGGCUCAACCAGGGAAUUGCGGCCGAAACUUCCGUGCUUGAGUGUGAGAUGGGAGAGUGGAACUUCCAGUGGAGCGGUGAAAUGCGUAGAUAUUGGAAGGAACGUCGGCGGCGAAAGCGACUCUCUGGCUCACUACUGACACUGAGGGGCGAAAGCCAGGGUAGCGAACGGGAUUAGAUACCCCGGUAGUCCUGGCCCGUAAACGAUGGGCACUAAGUAGAGGGGUUUU